RNAcentral lists this ribosomal RNA (380 nucleotides) under uncultured eukaryote. RNAcentral's name for it is "SSU rRNA". It matches the Rfam family "Eukaryotic small subunit ribosomal RNA", at positions 587 to 972 of the family's 1831-position model. The record is from RNAcentral.
AGCUCCAAUAGCGUAUAUUAAAGUUGUUGCAGUUAAAAAGCUCGUAGUUGAACUUCAGGCUUGGUUGGUUGGUCCGCCUCACGGUGUGUACUGAUCGACCGAGCCUUACCUCUUGGUGAGCCAGCAUGCCGUUUAUUCGGUGUGUUGGGGAACCAGGAUUUUUACUUUGAAAAAAUUAGAGUGUUCAAAGCAGGCCUAUGCCCGAAUACAUUAGCAUGGAAUAAUAGAAUAGGACGUGCGGUUCUAUUUUGUUGGUUUCUAGGAUCGCCGUAAUGAUUAAUAGGGAUAGUUGGGGGCAUUAGUAUUCAGUUGCUAGAGGUGAAAUUCUUGGAUUUACUGAAGACUAACUACUGCGAAAGCAUUUGCCAAGGAUGUUUUCA